AAGACCCUGGUAGACGCUGGUCACGUGAUCUGCUAAAAUCUAGCUGAGGUAUUCAAUAAAUAUUUGAUAUUUGGAUAAUUUUUAGUUUAAUUUUUAAUUUGCUUUUUGUACGAUUGUCGUAAAGGAAUCCAAGAUAGUUAAUUAGAAAUCUGCUAGAUUUUAGCAGAUCACGUGACCAGUGUCUACCAGGGUCUU
This is a non-coding RNA of Paramuricea clavata, 195 nucleotides long. The record is from the annotation of a GenBank genome assembly. NCBI's taxonomy places the organism in Eukaryota, Metazoa, Cnidaria, Anthozoa, Malacalcyonacea, Plexauridae.